This 378-nucleotide unclassified non-coding RNA is filed under the name plant metagenome. RNAcentral describes it as "partial contains 5.8S ribosomal RNA, internal transcribed spacer 2, and large subunit ribosomal RNA". The stretch from base 1 to 105 matches the Rfam family "5.8S ribosomal RNA", at positions 50 to 154 of the family's 154-position model. The record is from RNAcentral.
GAAAUGCGAUAAGUAAUGUGAAUUGCAGAAUUCAGUGAAUCAUCGAAUCUUUGAACGCACCUUGCGCUCCUUGGUAUUCCUUGCAGCAUGCCUGUUUGAGUAUCAUGAAAUCUUCAAAGUAAAUCUUUUGUUAACUCAAUUGGUUUCUACUUUGGUAUUGGAGGUCUUUGCAGCUUCACACCUGCUCCUCUUUGUUCAUUAGCUGGAUCUCAGUGUUAUGCUUGGUUCCACUCGGCGUGAUAAGUUAUCUAUCGCUGAGGACACUGUAAAAGGUGGCCAAGGUAAAUGCAGAUGAACCGCUUCUAAUAGUCCAUUGACUUGGACAAUACUUUUAUGAUCUGAUCUCAAAUCAGGUAGGACUACCCGCUGAACUUAAGC